Molecule: transfer-messenger RNA, 197 nt
Filed under: Sphingobium sp.
Lineage: Bacteria; Pseudomonadati; Pseudomonadota; Alphaproteobacteria; Sphingomonadales; Sphingobiaceae
Description: partial transfer-messenger RNA
Rfam family: Alphaproteobacteria transfer-messenger RNA
About the family: Bacterial tmRNA, also known as 10Sa RNA or SsrA, is named for its dual tRNA and mRNA-like properties. Its role is to liberate the mRNA from a stalled ribosome.
Source: RNAcentral
GAAGGGGCCGAACUAGGAUCGACGUGUGUUGAAAAGCGGCGCUUUUGCUCGGGCUGAGUAACCCGUUCAAGGCUCAAACUCAUAAGUGCCAACGAUAACGAAGCACUUGCUCUUGCAGCGUAAUUGAGGGCCUCGCGGCCUGACAUUACCCUAACAGAACGCGGUUGGACCAACCGGGCAACAGAAUGGAUUCCAGC